UUCUAACGAAACAUAGAGAACUCCAUAGC
Molecule: non-coding RNA, 29 nt
Filed under: Rattus norvegicus (Norway rat)
Lineage: Eukaryota; Metazoa; Chordata; Mammalia; Rodentia; Muridae
Source: RNAcentral